CCUUCUUCCUCCGCCCAGCCGCCACAGUGAUUGUCGUCAAGUCUGCCACAGGAGGAUAUUUUGUUCUGGGUUAACCUGCUUUUCUACCUCGCAGGUUGUUUAUCAAUAUUUGUGUAAUUUUAUUUACUCCUAGAAUUUCCGCAUGUGUUAGCAGUAAUUAUUUGAAUUUGGUCUGUAAUAUUAUAUUCAUGUUGGACCUGUAAACUUAAUAUUUUAAGUCUAUUUUGAUGGAUUGGAUGAGGGAGCUGAGCUCCCAUUUAUUAUUAUGUUGAUGAGUAUGUGGAGGGUGAGCUGAGCUCCCCAAUGGAUUGUUUAUUGUGUUUACAGGUCGGGUGAGUCGAAAACUCCCCGUUGGAAAGUCCAUUUUAUGGUCGGACUCCGUCCGUUUGUUUUCUUGAAUUUGGGCCCAAUGGGCCUUAGAGUU
Hevea brasiliensis (rubber tree) is the source of this 424-nucleotide long non-coding RNA. RefSeq lists it as uncharacterized. The record is from RefSeq and is a predicted model, not a curated record. The transcript has 2 exons. Lineage: Eukaryota; Viridiplantae; Streptophyta; Magnoliopsida; Malpighiales; Euphorbiaceae.